Sinocyclocheilus grahami is the source of this 82-nucleotide long non-coding RNA. RefSeq lists it as uncharacterized. The record is from RefSeq and is a predicted model, not a curated record. The transcript is spliced from 3 exons. Lineage: Eukaryota; Metazoa; Chordata; Actinopteri; Cypriniformes; Cyprinidae.
UUUUAUAUGACUAAAGUUACUGCAUACUUAAAUUUAUUUAAACUGAUUUUCAGGUCGUUUUUACUGCCUAUAAAAAGAACAU